Molecule: long non-coding RNA, 509 nt
Organism: Plutella xylostella (diamondback moth)
Lineage: Eukaryota; Metazoa; Arthropoda; Insecta; Lepidoptera; Plutellidae
Source: RefSeq, a predicted model, not a curated record
AUCGACCUGCGAACGGAACGGAACUGUCAGUGCUAACAAGAGCCUCUUCGUUUCGUUGUGCUGUUUUUGGUGCUGAGUGUUUGUAAAAAGUUACUAGCUUUUGGUUUUGUUUUGGUGCUUGUGUACAAUAGAAUUACAGAGGCAUGGCCCGGGGGCAGCGGCGGUAUUCCCGAAAAAAUAGGAAAGCUGAAAUUUAGAAGAAAAAAAAUAUUAAAUAAAGAUAUAAGAAGAGAUGUAAGAAGGCAAGCUGACAAUGGGAUGGUAUGUCUGCAAAGCCAAUCAUAAAGAACCAAAUAAACUGCUUAUGGGCUUAUGGUUAUAUUAAACCGAUUGCAUGUAUCUAUAUACUCUAAGCAUGUAUCAUAUUUGUUUUCUCAGCCUCACACUUUAACUCAGGUUCGCUGAAGCAUCGGCAAGCUGAAUGUGAGAUGGUAUGUUGAUGUCCUGUACAUUGACACGGAAAUGAGGCAUUGAAGAUGUUAUGUUGGGGACAAUGCAUGAUAGAACAG